Molecule: long non-coding RNA, 7344 nt
Filed under: Equus caballus (horse)
Lineage: Eukaryota; Metazoa; Chordata; Mammalia; Perissodactyla; Equidae
Description: lncRNA (ENSECAG00000033478.2)
Source: RNAcentral
CAGAAGCCAAAGGGUUGGAAAAGCCUAUUAACAAGCUCCCUGCCUGCCUGUUUGGAGACGUUGUCGAAUUGAGAGUCUCGGCACCUGAGGCGGGCCAAUGAGAUUCCUAACAUCCAAUCCUGGAAGAUGCCUGGAAACCUGUGCCCUUUGUCAGCCUCGUGAAUUCAUAAUAGCAUAACUGUGAAGGAAAUCCAUCUCUCUGAUGUUGCCAAACCAUUCAGGCCUCCAUCAAUGAGAUUGCAGAGGCCUUCAAGGUUCACAAUAUUCACCAAGACAUCUAUGGAAAUACGCUAUUGCUUUCCUACGAUGCAAAUACAGAUCACACAAGAAGGAAAAGUUCCAUGUAUUUCUCACCACUAAAUGAAGCCGUUAAUAUAUGUCUUAACUCCAUGAACUAUGCAGCUUCCAAAACAACCAAGAAAAGGAGCCAACAAGUAGGAUUCGUUAUGUAAGUUCAUGAACUUUCUCCACUGGAAGGGGUUUUGGAAUUAAUUCAGCAAAGCCCCUUGUUUUAGAAUUAAGGUAAGUGAAGAUCAGAAAAUUUAAGUGACUCAAGAUUGCACAGCUCGUUAGAGGCAGAGCCAGGACAAAAGCUCAGGACUCCUGACUUCAGUCUAACCCACUAUACCAAUAAUUAGUUGCUAAGACAAUUUUGUAUUCCUAAGAUGUCUUUAGGUAUUAAAAGUCAACUACAAGAAGUGUAUAUUUCCCUAGACCAUGCAUUCUCAACAAGGGCUAUAUCACCCCCAGAGGCAUGAACAUGGGUUCUUGCGGAUCAAAAAAAUCUUAUAUGAGGGACCAGCCCAGUGGUGCAGUGAUUAAGUUUGCAUGCUCCUCUUCGGCGGCCUGGGGUUCACGGGUUCAGAUCCCGGGCACGGACUGACACACCACUCAUCAAGCUAUGCUGUGGUGGUGACCCAUAUACAAAAUAAAGGAAGAUUGGCACAGAUGUUAGUUCAGCAACAAUCUUCCUCAAGCAAAAAUAGGAAGACUGGCAACAGAUGUUAGCUCAGGAUCAAUCUGCCUCACCAAAAAACAAAAAAAGCCCCUUAAAUGUUAGAUAUUACAAUUGUCACAAUUGUUUGUAGUCUUCCUAAGGGCCACAGUAUCUAAUCAGAUAUGCAACUUGUCUAUGGCAUCCAAGUUUCAGGGUGAGGGAGCUGUGAGGUGGGAGAAGGAAGGGUUAGGAAAAGAACGUCUAGAAAAGUUCUUUCGGGGCAACAACUGUUAAAAAGUUGAGAAAGACUGCCCUGGACCAAAGUCCACGGUCAGGAUCUUAGGGAACUUGCCAAAACGUUGGCUGAGUACAAGUGCUGGAGGCUCAAUUCGUUUUUAGAGUUAAACCAGUAAGCUGGGAUCCAGAAGCAUGCUUUGCUGUUCUCAUCCAGUUUUGGUGACCUAUUAUGAAGCAUAAAAAUCUGCUUUUUAUAGUGCCAAACUCAGCUCUUCGUCAUCGUAUAACUAGAGGAUAAAUAAGAUGGAAGUUACACUGCGUGCUCAAUAUUAUUAGCAAGCAUGGCUUGAUGGUAUGCAGGUCCGCACCUGGGAUCCAAACCUGUGAACCCUGGACCGCAGAAGCAGAGCUCGUGAACCUAACCACUAUGUCUCCAGGCUGACCCCAGGGUGUUCAGUAUUUUAUCUGGAAAGCCUACCUCCAACAGACAAGUGUUAAGUGGAACCCCCACGUCAAGACUGAAUUCUCAACAUGGCCUGACUGCUGUGAGUUCUCAUCCAGCAGUUUGGUUGAAAUGAUACAUGGAAUGUGAGUCAAAAUAAUGGAACUUCUAGGUACAAUUUUUGUUGUAUAUAUUUUACAUUGCAUACAAUAUAUUAGUGUAGUAGCAUAUCUACAUAUGUAGUUUAUAUAUAAUUUACAAAUAAACACUUAUUGGAACUGAACUGUCAAACAUUUAUUCCUGAUAGGGGAGAGGAAUCAAAAAGAGUUAUCAAUAGAUGAGCAGCAUUGCGACAAAGAGCUUCUAUUCCUUUUCCCUUUAACAACAAAGAAAAGAUAUUCAAAUCAGGAAAAUCCUUAUAUGCUUGGUAAAAAUGUCACUAAGCUAUUUAGUUUGGGGAAUUUGUGAAAUUAACCAGAUGUGCUGAAAUAUACUUUCUUGUUGCAAAAUAGCUGGUAAUCCACUAGGAUAAAUCGCUGUGAGGUAAUCACAUUCGAACAAUUCAUUUGGUGCAUUCUUCUUCUUACUUAGGGAAAAAAAGAAAUUUGCUUGGACUUGAUCCUUGCACUUCACAGGAUCAGUCAUACUUUGUUGAUUUGUUCCAACAAUUGCCCGCCCAUUAAAUUUGAAAAGAUAAAAAGUGGAAAAAAUAUAAGAAGCCACAAAACACCCCUUCUCUGUGGAGUGACAGCAUUGUAAUACCACAGAAUCUAGAGACAGAUGGUGGCUUAUAGCAGACAUCAAUCUUCAAUGAGAGUAAAUUUCGGAUAAUGCCCCUCUUUGGUAAUGGACAUGUCUUUGCAAAGUUAUUGCUGACAGCAUCCUCUAACGUGCUGAUUUGCUAAGACAAGGUUUUUAUUGCAUCUAAUCUUGUCGUGAGGCAUGAAAAGAGUGGCUGGGUACAUGUUUUUCAUGUAUAGUUUUUACAAGAAUUGCCUGCAUUAGAGAGUGGCUAAAUUGUUUUCCAUAUUUUAUGGCACAUUUCAAAUGUUCCGCCACACACAACAUUGAUCACUCAGUCCAUUAGCUUAUUAUGAUAUCCUGAAAGGAGACACUUCCCUUGGGAAAAGCCAUAAUUUGAAAUGAGAUGAAGGCUCUGACUCCCUAGGACAGAGUGGGGUGGGAUCUACUGAGCAACUGCUUAAUUUCCUCAAGGGAAAUAGCCAGUUAAAUAUAUAUAGAAAUGUAAAUACACACAUAUAUUUUUCAAAAUGUCUGACCUAUUCAAAUCUACUUUGUCUUCUGAGGGACUUGGACACUUUCCAGCAGCUCAAACUGGCUUCAGUAAGGAUGGGGCAGCUUUUACAAUACAAAACUUUUUCAUAAUUAUGGGAAAUACUCAUGGCAUUAUCAGGGUUCUAAUAGAAAAAAUAGAGGGACUUUAAUAUAGGGGUUUGUUAACACAGGUUGUAGAAGAGCUGAAAAAACGCACAAGACCAUGGAGCAUCCCAGAGAUCAGCAACAACAGAAAGUGCCACCACCACCAGGUGGUUCUGACGGAUCCAGGGCCAUUCACUGGGGCUAGACCCAUUCUGGGGUUGUCUUUGGGAGCUGGGCCCAUGAAAGGAAGAGUUUUCCAAUGGACCUGGAAUCACCGUGGAGGUAUAGCCCCUGAAGGAGACACCAUGGAACAGAAAGCGAGAACAUACCGGGUUCCCCCUUCUUUCUACCCUCUGGUUUCCAACAGUUGCCCCCUUUGGCAAGGAAGCCUUGUAAAUGCAGUUCCCAGAAAUGCAGAACAAAGUAGAAGGGCAGGGAACAAAGCUAGGAGCCAACAGAUAAAUAAAUAACUUGGACAAAAUUAAAGCAGCUUCAUUUCUUUAGCACUUCGUUUAGUAUGUUACUGAGCACUGUAAACUCUAUCCUACACAUAAAGACACAAUUUUUCCCAAGCUAAGUAAACUUUGAAAUCUUUGUCCAUAGGAGUAAGGAUCGAAGUGGCCAUUGGGGACAUCAAAGCAAAGCGUUUCUCAGAACAUUUCAAAAAUUGCUGUGAGAUGGCUACUCAGGCUCCUAAUGGCAUUUGUGUUUCAGGAAAUGUAACUGAAUGGGAAAAUGGUGGAUGCCCCAUUGCAUUCUGCACUUCGUCUGUGUCAGAAUCUUAUGCUAGGUGCUUCCGCGUGUUUCACUUCAUCUUCAGAGUGGCCUAAAAGAGGAAUUCAUAUCUCUUGUGGGGAUAUAAGCUUUGAUAUCUUUAUCUACCUCUGAAAACCCCAAAUGAUGUCCUCCCUGUAGGACGUCCUUUGCAUCUGCUGUUGAGAUAUAAAAUCCUAGGGGAAGGGACUGAUGAAGAUCUGUUCAAUGGAAAGGAGCAAGCAGUGGCCACUUUAAGACCCCUGGGUCCUAGGUAAGUCAUGGCACCACAGAAGAGUCCAUCAUGUUUGCUUGGAUUACAUUUGAGGCCUGGGGCAGGGUCUUUUGUCUUCUCUUGUUAUAAGCAAGCAACUAGUGACAUGAGCCCAGCACUGGAGAAACUAGGGCCUAACAGAGUUCACAAACAUCGAAUCUAAUACCAGCCACUUCUACCAUGAAGAACUCCAGGACAACGAGCUUAUCCUGUCUUGGGGCCCAGGAUGGAGAAUGGGAGAGUUUUUAUAAUUUUCAUUCAUCUACUUCUCAGUCCACUACAACUAACAAAUGGGUUGUUUUUAUAAGUAAAACUUCGUGAACAGAUGAGGAUGAUUCUAGCUCUUAUCUUAAUUCCUCUAGCUAACCUAGAAAUUCAUUGUAUACUCUCCUUUUAAUUUACUUAUGUGUACAAACUUUGCUAAUUCCAAGAAUUCCAUGUUUGUCUACUAUUCAUUGCAGAGGGAGACAUUGAUAUUUACCUAAACUGUUGUGUCCAAGAGUUAUUCCUAAUCAUAGUCCUUGUCUCUACUUACUUACCACCUUUUGUGACUUUUUAAUAGAUUGCUAUCUUAUCUCUUAGCAUAGAUGCUACCUACAGAUUUAAUAGAUUUAUCUAAUAGGUUUAAUACAUUUAACCUUUUAAUCUACAGAACUGUAAGUUUUAUUCUUUGAUCAGCAGUCUCAUUUUCCCCAAUGUGACCAAUAAAGUCACUCUAAAGAGGUCACACAGGCUUAUUUGCCACAUUUCAUCUGCAGUCCUGCCCUGUUCCAUCCUGACUCGAAUUUCUUGAGACAAGUAGCCGUGGUCCAGAAAUUGGGCUUCUUUUAUAUAAUUGGUAAACAGUGGCAUUUUUCUGGACAGACUUCCUGGCUCUGACUGCUCGCCAAGUCACUGUCCCCUUCUGAAUGCAGAGCCUAAUACUACUGGUUCUUUGAGCAGCUGUCACCAUGCUUUGUCCUUGGGCCACUGUCCCCCUGCUCAUGUUUGGGCUGAAUUGACAUUUGAGAUGUGGCCUGGCUGGAGGAAUUGGUUAAUAGAUAAAUACUCUUCCGGAGAGUAAAGAACUGACUUAAUCCAGGCCUCUCGUGGAAUGUUCGAAUGUGAAACACAGGAAAGGAAGGGUUGAUAAUAGAGUGGCAUAGAAAAUGAGAGGCAGAUAGAAAGUAGUAAGCGCAAAACAGGAGCAAAUAGAAGCAACAAGGGAGUGAAUAUUAUGAGAUGGAGAGCAAAAUUCUCAGCAACAAAUUCAGGGUCCAAAAGCAAAGAGGCGGAGACCAGGGCAGCCAGCCCAGGAGAAGGUCUAUUUGACUCUUGCUGGGAAUCAGAAACCGGAGUAUCUGGACUCACGUUCCACGGAUCCCCAAAACCCAUUAUGCACCAGCUGAGACCUUUUUCGGUGGCUCCUUACUUCAGGGUGUAUCCCAAAAUUAAGCCCAUGACACCACAGUAACAAAGCUCCUGUCAUGGGCGCUGCUUCUGGUCUGAGAGAGGCCACACAGCCAUUGUUAUCCUAGAUUAAGGAUACCCAUACACGCUGCUCACAUUUUCCACAAUUUAAUGCAAACUUUUUGGGCUUUUGACCCCAAAAUUCUUAUAGGUAAAAAUAUGAAUUUGCAUACUGAAAGUGAAAUCCUUUGGAGCUGAGAGGCCUAGCUGUAAAAAUGCUGAACACGCUAAUCAUAUGGAAAUGUAUUCCUAAGGUCCUAAAAACGUAGCUCUUCUUUUAUUGUAUAACGUGUUGUUCUUCUGUGAAACUUGUACAUUUCUGUUGUAUUUGGAAAACUUUUGUUAGGACAAUGGAAUGAAUGUUGGUAACUACUUUAGGCUCUGUAAGACAGGAAAAAGUUUUCCUCAGGGUCCCAUGCUGGAUCUGAAAAGUAAACUAACAAAGACAGAUGUACAGGAGAAAGCCUACAAAUUUAUUUGCUAUAAGUUUUACUUGACACAGGAGCCUUUAUAAGGAAGUUGAAACGCCAAAGAAACAGACCUGUGUAUCUUUAUGCUAGGUUUGGCGAAGAGUGGACAGUCCUGGAGGAACAUGAUGGGCUAAGGAGCAGGAGGUAAUUGUAAUAAAUGGAGGGAAACUUAGCACGGCCUGUUUGUUAGGAUUCUUCUUCGUAUUCCUUUGUCUCUGGAGAUGAGAUGAGAACGGUCCUUUCCUCUGGGUGUAGGUUGGCCACCUUUCAUGAGGAGUUUGUGACCUGCUUCAGGGAAAAAGGGUGAGGCGGGUGCAGAGGAGGUCAGAGUGACCUUCCUGCUUCUAAUAUCUUCUCAAACUCCUUUGGCUUAAAAUAUUCAAUAUCCCAAGAUGCCAUAUUUUAGGGUAACAUGUCCUGAACCCCAUCAGCUCCCAUAGCAUCCAGUACUUAUCUUUGCCAAUAUGUAUUUUCAAUUAUUUUGUUAGUGCUCAUUAUUGCUGCAAACUCUCUGAAGAUAAGGAACCAAGCCUUCUUGUUCACCAGAGCACAUAGUAGGCAUUCCAUAACUACAAUGCAGUCUAUACAGAAGGCGAAAUAUAAUGAUGUACACCUGAAAUGUACAUAAUAUUAUAAACCAAUGUGACCUCAGUGAAACUUUUUUAAAAAGAGAAAAAAGUAAAGAAUAAAUGCCAUUUUGUUACCUUUAUUUGCAGGUCCUGGUUCAUUAUGUCUUUAGGGUUCUAAUUUAGGGAAACUAAGGACAAACGAGGCACAAAGAUGGGGGACUGCUUCAGGGUGUAAGUUUCCUGUUGGUAGAAAUGCUCUGGACCAUGAAGUCCUUGUCCCUUCAUCAAUUGGACGUAGCCUUUAGCCUCGCCUAAAGAUCCAAAGAGCUUUUCAAACGAAGUGAAGUUUGAGAGCAUUUCGAAGUGAAGUUUUUGCUUGUUUUAUAGUUCUCUGCUACUUGAGCUGCUUGCACUCACACCCAAUAAAUGCACUGUCUCCUCAUAGUUUGAAUUUUGGUAUUUGUACUUGCUCAGCUGACUGCUCCCUGCUGGUGCUAGUUUGCAGUGACGUCUCUGGCCCUAGCUCCUAGCCUACCUGUUCAUAUAGGAGCCUUGCAUAUUCUGGUGUUUUUAUAGCCAUAUUUUCCAAAAGUAGUCCAAAAAAUAAUAACUCUGAGGAAUGUGAAUAGUUGUUAUCAAGGAUCUGUGAUCAAAUGGUUGUCAAAAAGCUGGUCUGAAUGGGAGAUUUAGUAAGAUGAUUUUCCCAACGUGUUUGUCUAUACUUUUUUCUUGAAGCAUAUCAGUGGAACCGCAUAUCAGUGGAAGCUACUUGGAGAAAUACUACUUUAUGGCCUCCUUGGUAGAGUCCAGCCUUUUAUUUUCUAAUAGUAAAC